UCAAGCUUGCUUGGUCUGAUCAGUGGCGAACGGGUGAGUAACACGUGAGUAACCUGCCCCAGACUCUGGGAUAACCCCGGGAAACCGGAGCUAAUACCGGAUAUGACACCAAUCCGCAUGGGUAUGGUGUGGAAAGUUUUUCGGUCUGGGAUGGACUCGCGGCCUAUCAGCUUGUUGGUGAGGUAGUGGCUCACCAAGGCGACGACGGGUAGCCGGCCUGAGAGGGCGACCGGCCACACUGGGACUGAGACACGGCCCAGACUCCUACGGGAGGCAGCAGUGGGGAAUAUUGCACAAUGGGCGCAAGCCUGAUGCAGCGACGCCGCGUGAGGGAUGACGGCCUUCGGGUUGUAAACCUCUUUCAGCAGGGAAGAAGCGCAAGUGACGGUACCUGCAGAAGAAGCACCGGCUAACUACGUGCCAGCAGCCGCGGUAAUACGUAGGGUGCGAGCGUUGUCCGGAAUUAUUGGGCGUAAAGAGCUUGUAGGUGGUUUGUCGCGUCUGCUGUGAAAAUCCGGGGCUCAACCCCGGACUUGCAGUGGGUACGGGCAGACUAGAGUGUGGUAGGGGAGACUGGAAUUCCUGGUGUAGCGGUGGAAUGCGCAGAUAUCAGGAGGAACACCGAUGGCGAAGGCAGGUCUCUGGGCCA
RNAcentral lists this ribosomal RNA (649 nucleotides) under uncultured bacterium. RNAcentral's name for it is "bacterial SSU rRNA". It matches the Rfam family "Bacterial small subunit ribosomal RNA", at positions 74 to 736 of the family's 1533-position model. The record is from RNAcentral.